AUUGAACGCUGGCGGCAUGCCUUACACAUGCAAGUCGAACGGCAGCACGGGGGCAACCCUGGUGGCGAGUGGCGAACGGGUGAGUAAUACAUCGGAACGUGUCCUGGAGUGGGGGAUAGCCCGGCGAAAGCCGGAUUAAUACCGCAUACGCUCUAUGGAGGAAAGCGGGGGAUCUUCGGACCUCGCGCUCAAGGGGCGGCCGAUGGCGGAUUAGCUAGUUGGUAGGGUAAAGGCCUACCAAGGCGACGAUCCGUAGCUGGUCUGAGAGGACGACCAGCCACACUGGGACUGAGACACGGCCCAGACUCCUACGGGAGGCAGCAGUGGGGAAUUUUGGACAAUGGGGGCAACCCUGAUCCAGCAAUGCCGCGUGUGUGAAGAAGGCCUUCGGGUUGUAAAGCACUUUUGUCCGGAAAGAAAUCCUCUGGGUUAAUACCUCGGGGGGAUGACGGUACCGGAAGAAUGAGC
RNAcentral lists this ribosomal RNA (468 nucleotides) under bacterium Ellin365. Its description in RNAcentral is "bacterial SSU rRNA". It matches the Rfam family "Bacterial small subunit ribosomal RNA", at positions 29 to 491 of the family's 1533-position model. Lineage: Bacteria; Pseudomonadati; Pseudomonadota; Betaproteobacteria; Burkholderiales; Burkholderiaceae. The record is from RNAcentral.